ACUCCUACGGGAGGCAGCAGUAGGGAAUCUUCCACAAUGGGCGCAAGCCUGAUGGAGCAACACCGCGUGAGUGAAGAAGGGUUUCGGCUCGUAAAGCUCUGUUGUUAAAGAAGAACACGUAUGAGAGUAACUGUUCAUACGUUGACGGUAUUUAACCAGAAAGUCACGGCUAACUACGUGCCAGCAGCCGCGGUAAUACGUAGGUGGCAAGCGUUAUCCGGAUUUAUUGGGCGUAAAGAGAGUGCAGGCGGUUUUCUAAGUCUGAUGUGAAAGCCUUCGGCUUAACCGGAGAAGUGCAUCGGAAACUGGAUAACUUGAGUGCAGAAGAGGGUAGUGGAACUCCAUGUGUAGCGGUGGAAUGCGUAGAUAUAUGGAAGAACACCAGUGGCGAAGGCGGCUACCUGGUCUGCAACUGACGCUGAGACUCGAAAGCAUGGGUAGCGAACAGGAUUAGAUACCCUGUAGGAUAGCG
Molecule: ribosomal RNA, 472 nt
Filed under: uncultured bacterium
Lineage: Bacteria
Description: bacterial SSU rRNA
Rfam family: Bacterial small subunit ribosomal RNA
Source: RNAcentral